Molecule: ribosomal RNA, 447 nt
Filed under: uncultured bacterium
Lineage: Bacteria
Description: bacterial SSU rRNA
Rfam family: Bacterial small subunit ribosomal RNA
Source: RNAcentral
ACCAGACUCCUACGGGAGGCAGCAGUGGGGGAUAUUGCACAAUGGGGGGAACCCUGAUGCAGCGACGCCGCGUGGGUGAAGAAGCGCCUCGGCGCGUAAAGCCCUGUCAGCAGGGAAGAAAAUGACGGUACCUGAAGAAGAAGCCCCGGCUAACUACGUGCCAGCAGCCGCGGUAAUACGUAGGGGGCAAGCGUUAUCCGGAUUUACUGGGUGUAAAGGGGGCGCAGACGGCGAUGCAAGCCAGGAGUGAAAGCCCGGGGCCCAACCCCGGGACUGCUCUUGGAACUGCGUGGCUGGAGUGCAGGAGGGGCAGGCGGAAUUCCUGGUGUAGCGGUGAAAUGCGUAGAUAUCAGGAGGAACACCGGUGGCGAAGGCGGCCUGCUGGACUGCAACUGACGUUGAGGCCCGAAAGCGUGGGGAGCAAACAGGAUUAGAUACCCUGGUAAG